GAUGAACGCUGGCGGCGUGCCUCAUACAUGCAAGUCGAGCGAACAGACGAGGAGCUUGCUCCUCUGACGUUAGCGGCGGACGGGUGAGUAACACGUGGAUAACCUACCUAUAAGACUGGGAUAACUUCGGGAAACCGGAGCUAAUACCGGAUAAUAUAUUGAACCGCAUGGUUCAAUAGUGAAAGACGGUUUUGCUGUCACUUAUAGAUGGAUCCGCGCCGCAUUAGCUAGUUGGUAAGGUAACGGCUUACCAAGGCAACGAUGCGUAGCCGACCUGAGAGGGUGAUCGGCCACACUGGAACUGAGACACGGUCCAGACUCCUACGGGAGGCAGCAGUAGGGAAUCUUCCGCAAUGGGCGAAAGCCUGGCGGAGCAACGCCGCGUGAGUGAUGAAGGUCUUCGGAUCGUAAAACUCUGUUAUUAGGGAAGAACAAAUGUGUAAGUAACUAUGCACGUCUUGACGGUACCUAAUCAGAAAGCCACGGCUAACUACGUG
RNAcentral lists this ribosomal RNA (497 nucleotides) under uncultured bacterium. Its description in RNAcentral is "partial 16S ribosomal RNA". It matches the Rfam family "Bacterial small subunit ribosomal RNA", at positions 28 to 507 of the family's 1533-position model. The record is from RNAcentral.